Molecule: ribosomal RNA, 250 nt
Filed under: uncultured bacterium
Lineage: Bacteria
Description: partial 16S ribosomal RNA
Rfam family: Bacterial small subunit ribosomal RNA
Source: RNAcentral
UACGGAGGGGGCUAGCGUUGUUCGGAAUUACUGGGCGUAAAGCGCACGUAGGCGGGACGGAAAGUCAGAGGUGAAAUCCCGGGGCUCAACCCCGGAACGGCCUUUGAAACUUCCGUUCUUGAGGUCUGGAGAGGUGAGUGGAAUUCCGAGUGUAGAGGUGAAAUUCGUAGAUAUUCGGAGGAACACCAGUGGCGAAGGCGGCUCACUGGCCAGAUACUGACGCUGAGGUGCGAAAGCGUGGGGAGCAAAC